GAAGCCCUGUGCUGCGCGCGAUUCGUUCCGUUAACGUGAGCCAACACCAUGUUGACGGGAAGCUGACUUCUGCCGGGAGAGGCCUGCCCGGGAAGGUGCCGGGACGCAAGUCCCCUGCGGAGGAGUUACCCACCUGUUGAGGUUGGGUUCAGCGUCGACGGAACUAACGGCAGCGUCGGGGCUUUU
This 186-nucleotide non-coding RNA is filed under the name Candidatus Omnitrophota bacterium. RNAcentral's name for it is "Candidatus Omnitrophica bacterium (groundwater metagenome) 6S RNA". It matches the Rfam family "6S / SsrS RNA". From Rfam's summary of the family: E. coli 6S RNA was the first non coding RNA to be sequenced, but its function was unknown until recently. It consists of 184 nucleotides that fold into an extended hairpin structure with a large single-stranded internal bulge. The 6S RNA specifically associates with RNA polymerase holoenzyme containing the sigma70 specificity factor. The record is from RNAcentral. Lineage: Bacteria; Pseudomonadati; Candidatus Omnitrophota.